RNAcentral lists this non-coding RNA (24 nucleotides) under Rattus norvegicus (Norway rat). Lineage: Eukaryota; Metazoa; Chordata; Mammalia; Rodentia; Muridae. The record is from RNAcentral.
GUAAAACUAUGGUCCAUAUGUCAU